This 269-nucleotide long non-coding RNA is filed under the name Gallus gallus (chicken). Lineage: Eukaryota; Metazoa; Chordata; Aves; Galliformes; Phasianidae. The record is from RNAcentral.
AUAGGCAACACCUGCAGCACAGGAGAAGUUGUGUAAACUCAGCAUUUUUUCAAAACAAUUGGAAACAGAAGGAGGAUUUGGCAGGACUGUGAAAGAGCCUUCAGAGAUGGAAAAAGAAGAAGAAGCCACCAUCUUAAGCUGCAGGAAGUGUACUGAAGUACAACAGGAAGACUUAUUACAAGUAACUGCCUGGAGACAUCAUUACAUGGUUCUGGCACUCAGCACUUCUCCAAGAUACUCAGUGGAUUGUUGCUUCUUUUACAUUUUGG